GACGAACGCUGGCGGCGUGCCUAAUACAUGCAAGUUGAGCGCUGAAGGUUGGUACUUGUACCGACUGGAUGAGCAGCGAACGGGUGAGUAACGCGUGGGGAAUCUGCCUUUGAGCGGGGGACAACAUUUGGAAACGAAUGCUAAUACCGCAUAAAAACUUUAAACACAAGUUUUAAGUUUGAAAGAUGCAAUUGCAUCACUCAAAGAUGAUCCCGCGUUGUAUUAGCUAGUUGGUGAGGUAAAGGCUCACCAAGGCGAUGAUACAUAGCCGACCUGAGAGGGUGAUCGGCCACAUUGGGACUGAGACACGGCCCAAACUCCUACGGGAGGCAGCAGUAGGGAAUCUUCGGCAAUGGACGAAAGUCUGACCGAGCAACGCCGCGUGAGUGAAGAAGGUUUUCGGAUCGUAGAACUCUGUUGGUAGAGAAGAACGUUGGUGAGAGUGGAAAGCUCAUCAAGUGACGGUAACUACCCAGAAAGGGACGGCUAACUACGUG
This 497-nucleotide ribosomal RNA is filed under the name uncultured bacterium. RNAcentral describes it as "partial 16S ribosomal RNA". It matches the Rfam family "Bacterial small subunit ribosomal RNA", at positions 28 to 507 of the family's 1533-position model. The record is from RNAcentral.